Molecule: ribosomal RNA, 253 nt
Filed under: uncultured prokaryote
Description: partial 16S ribosomal RNA
Rfam family: Bacterial small subunit ribosomal RNA
Source: RNAcentral
UACAGAGGUCUCAAGCGUUGUUCGGAUUCAUUGGGCGUAAAGGGUGUGUAGGUGGCGCCGUAAGUCGGGUGUGAAAUUUCGAGGCUUAACCUCGAAACUGCAUUCGAUACUGCGGUGCUUGAGGACUGGAGAGGAGACUGGAAUUCAUGGUGUAGCAGUGAAAUGCGUAGAGAUCAUGAGGAAUACCAGAGGCGAAGGCGGCUACCUGGACAAUUGCUGACGCUCAGGCACGAAAGCGUGGGGAGCAAAAGGG